This is a long non-coding RNA of Apis cerana (Asiatic honeybee), 1997 nucleotides long. RefSeq lists it as uncharacterized. The record is from RefSeq and is a predicted model, not a curated record. Lineage: Eukaryota; Metazoa; Arthropoda; Insecta; Hymenoptera; Apidae.
AUUAUUAUUUCUAGCUAAUAUAUACAUCAAUUUAAUAAAUGAAAAUCAUUUACUUAUCAUAAAUAAUUAAAUUAAAAUAAUGAAAUUAAUUAAUAAGUAACAAAUUUAUUCAUUGCUUAAUAUGUAUACAUACAAUUAUUCCACAAAUAUUGGAGAGAAUAAUUUGAAAAUCAUAAUAAUAAUAUCAAAACAAAAAUACGAAAAAAUUCUUAUUAUAACAAUUUUAAUCAGAAAUCUGGAUCAAGAAACUGUUCAAGAAACUAAUUCAUGAUCUAUCAAUGGAGAACGUUUAAAGUUGAUUAUCGAAAUUUUAUAAACCUGACACGUUCAAUGACGCAGUUUAAUUACAUGACAAGCAAAAACAGGAUUGCUCGACCACGACAAAGCGUAAUUUGAUUACUCGUCGGUGGAUGGAACGCUGAUGCCAUUGGUCGAUGCAAUUUCGAUCGAUCUUCGAUUUUUCAUCCCACAAACAGCAUUACAUCUUCCAAAAUGUAAUUACUCUGUUAUCACUUAUGAUAUUCGAAGAAGCGGAAAUAGCAGUUAAAUAACAUUUGAAAUUUACUUAACGUUUUCUAUUAUAUCAAUCGGUCUCUAUAAUUUACCAUAUUAAUAUAUGUUUACCGAGUAAAAUUUAAAUUUAAAUAAAAAAACAUAGUAAUUAUGACGCAUGAAUUAACAGACAGCAUUAUCUUAUAAAUUAUUGCCUACUGUAUCUGACAUAAGGUAUUUUACGAGCGGUUGAGAAUGUAAAUUUACCACAUGCUCGCACGUGAGCAUAUACCACGGUUAAUAGUCGAUAAAGCGGUCGAUACUGAUUGGCGUGGUAUCGUGCAGGUGUACCACUUUUACGUACUACAUGAUAGACGUGUGAAGCAUUGAAGUUCGUCUGAUAAUUAUUCAGAUAAAUCAACAAUUUGCAGAGUUUUAUUUUUCAAGCAAAUGAUUUUUCAGUUUUUCAAAAAAGAAACUCAUUCAUCAGUAAAGGACCAGUAACCUUUGAACCUUUCACACUGGGCUACUAUCAAUCAAUAUUCAUAUAACAUGUAAUAGCCAUUCACCGUUCAUUUUAAACGCAAAAGACGUCGCCAGUUACUUGCCGCGAAAUCGUCUUCGGCAACAUUCAAGAUAAUAAUUGUCAGAAAGAAACGACCGAUAGAUAGACUGGUCGAUAGAACUUAGGGUGGCAUAGCGUGGUUCAUACUCGUGUUCCGUGUACACAUGAAGCUGCGAUACACGCGCCAUACUCGAGCACACAGAACCACUAUGGGGAAAGAGAGACGGAAAAGGAGAGGCAGAGAGAGAGAAAGGGAGAGGGCAGACGACAUGCGCCGGCCCUCGUUGCUGCAUGUUAUAAUGUUCGAAGCCCACGAACAGAACGAACGUUGGACGACAGUCAUUCAGAGCUCGACCAGUGUGCCGUACGUUUCGUGGCUCCUCUCAUCCUCGUGCGACAUCGUGUUCGUUCACAUCCGCCCUCGGUUCCCGGCAUCGACGAUUAGACUACCUGAGAGCCGUCAAUUAACCAGAACAGGAACUAAAAAUAUAGGAAAGAACGAUGCUCUGAAUGUGAUCAUCGCGUUCACACCGGACAUUUAUUUCCCGAUGAUUUUUCUCUAUGAUGCGCUAAUAGAGGAUAGACAUUAGUGACCAGUGAUAUUUGGAAACACUAGACAUCUUUAAGGGGUUAAAUAGUUCCGAAUACAUCUGAAUAUUCGGUAAGUAAUUUUCAAUAAAUUUUUAUUGUUAAUGUUUAAUAUAUAUGGAGAGUUGUACAAACGUGAUGAAUAUUGAAUGAAAACUCAGAUAUUCAAUGCGAAUCACUGUAAAUAUAUAAAAGUUGAGUAGUUGAGUAAUCGUUGAGUAAUCUUGUUAGAUUAGUCGAUAAUGUUACGAACUAUAUUAUGCAAGUUGUGUUAUGGCUACUGACGCCAUUGGAGUUAAGAAAUAUAUUAUUUCUUAAGAAAAUUAAUAAAAUUAAAGAGUUUAUUGACUGA